RNAcentral lists this ribosomal RNA (1343 nucleotides) under uncultured bacterium. RNAcentral's name for it is "16S ribosomal RNA". It matches the Rfam family "Bacterial small subunit ribosomal RNA", at positions 28 to 1378 of the family's 1533-position model. The record is from RNAcentral.
GACGAACGCUGGCGGCGUGCUUAACACAUGCAAGUCGAACGGAAAGGCCCUGCUUUUGUGGGGUGCUCGAGUGGCGAACGGGUGAGUAACACGUGAGUAACCUGCCCUUGACUUUGGGAUAACCUCAGGAAACUGGGGCUAAUACCGGAUAGGAGCUCCUGCUGCAUGGUGGGGGUUGGAAAGUUUCGGCGGUUGGGGAUGGACUCGCGGCUUAUCAGCUUGUUGGUGGGGUAGUGGCUUACCAAGGCUUUGACGGGUAGCCGGCCUGAGAGGGUGACCGGCCACAUUGGGACUGAGAUACGGCCCAGACUCCUACGGGAGGCAGCAGUGGGGAAUAUUGCACAAUGGGCGGAAGCCUGAUGCAGCAACGCCGCGUGCGGGAUGACGGCCUUCGGGUUGUAAACCGCUUUCGCCUGUGACGAAGCGUGAGUGACGGUAAUGGGUAAAGAAGCACCGGCUAACUACGUGCCAGCAGCCGCGGUGAUACGUAGGGUGCGAGCGUUGUCCGGAUUUAUUGGGCGUAAAGGGCUCGUAGGUGGUUGAUCGCGUCGGAAGUGUAAUCUUGGGGCUUAACCCUGAGCGUGCUUUCGAUACGGGUUGACUUGAGGAAGGUAGGGGAGAAUGGAAUUCCUGGUGGAGCGGUGGAAUGCGCAGAUAUCAGGGGGAACACCAGUGGCGAAGGCGGUUCUCUGGGCCUUUCCUGACGCUGAGGAGCGAAAGCGUGGGGAGCGAACAGGCUUAGAUACCCUGGUAGUCCACGCUGUAAACGGUGGGUACUAGGUGUGGGGUCCAUUCCACGGGUUCCGUGCCGUAGCUAACGCUUUAAGUACCCCGCCUGGGGAGUACGGCCGCAAGGCUAAAACUCAAAGGAAUUGACGGGGCCCCGCACAAGCGGCGGAGCAUGCGGAUUAAUUCGAUGCAACGCGUAGAACCUUACCUGGGUUUGACAUGGAUCGGGAGUGCUCAGAGAUGGGUGUGCCUCUUUUGGGGUCGGUUCACAGGUGGUGCAUGGCUGUCGUCAGCUCGUGUCGUGAGAUGUUGGGUUAAGUCCCGCAACGAGCGCAACCCUUGUUCACUGUUGCCAGCACGCUAUGGUGGGGACUCAGUGGAGACCGCCGGGGUCAACUCGGAGGAAGGUGGGGAUGACGUCAAGUCAUCAUGCCCCUUAUGUCCAGGGCUUCACGCAUGCUACAAUGGCUGGUACAGAGAGUGGCGAGCCUGUGAGGGUGAGCGAAUCUCGGAAAGCCGGUCUCAGUUCGGAUUGGGGUCUGCAACUCGACCUCAUGAAGUCGGAGUCGCUAGUAAUCGCAGAUCAGCAACGCUGCGGUGAAUACGUUCCCGGG